RNAcentral lists this ribosomal RNA (864 nucleotides) under uncultured Paracoccaceae bacterium. RNAcentral describes it as "bacterial SSU rRNA". It matches the Rfam family "Bacterial small subunit ribosomal RNA", at positions 512 to 1378 of the family's 1533-position model. RNAcentral also lists the same sequence under 1 other name. Lineage: Bacteria; Pseudomonadati; Pseudomonadota; Alphaproteobacteria; Rhodobacterales; Paracoccaceae. The record is from RNAcentral.
CAGCCGCGGUAAUACGUAAGGACCGAGCGUUGUCCGGAAUCAUUGGGCGUAAAGGGUACGUAGGCGGCUAGAAAAGUUAGAAGUCAAAGGCUAUAGCUCAACUAUAGUAAGCUUCAAAAACUAUUUAGCUUGAGAAAUGGAAGGGGAAGUGGAAUUCCUAGUGUAGCGGUGGAAUGCGCAGAUAUUAGGAAGAAUACCGGUGGCGAAGGCGACUUUCUGGCCAUUAUCUGACGCUGAGGUACGAAAGCGUGGGUAGCAAACAGGAUUAGAUACCCUGGUAGUCCACGCCGUAAACGAUGAGUGUUAGGUGUCUGGAGUCAAAUCUGGGUGCCGCAGCAAACGCAUUAAACACUCCGCCUGGGGAGUACGCACGCAAGUGUGAGACUCAAAGGAAUUGACGGGGACCCGCACAAGCAGCGGAGCAUGUGGUUUAAUUCGACGCAACGCGAAGAACCUUACCAAGUCUUGACAUAUUACAGAAGCAGUUAGAGAUAAUUGCUUACAUCUUCGGAUGACUGUAUACAGGUGGUGCAUGGUUGUCGUCAGCUCGUGUCGUGAGAUGUUGGGUUAAGUCCCAUAACGAGCGCAACCCCUAUUGCUAGUUACCAUCAUUAAGUUGGGGACUCUAGUAAUACUGCCGGUGACAAACCGGAGGAAGGUGGGGAUGACGUCAAAUCAUCAUGCCCUUUAUGACUUGGGCUACACACGUGCUACAAUGGCAGGUACACAGGGAAGCAAGGCUGCGAAGUUAAGCGAAACUCAAAAAGCCUGUCCCAGUUCGGAUUGCACUCUGCAACUCGAGUGCAUGAAGUUGGAGUUGCUAGUAAUCGUGGAUCAGAAUGCCGCGGUGAAUGCGUUCCCGGG